GAUGAACGCUGGCGGCGUGCCUAAUACAUGCAAGUCGAGCGAACGGACGAGAAGCUUGCUUUUCUGAUGUUAUCGGCGGACGGGUGAGUAUCACGUGGAUAACAUACCUCUAAGACUGGGGUACCUUUGGGAAACCGGAUCUUCUACCCGAUAAUAUUUUGCACCGCAUUGUGCACGAGUGAAAGAAGGUCUUUCGGUCGCUUAUAGAUUGAUACGGGUUGCAUUCGUUAGUUGGUAGGGUAACGGCUUACCAAGGCAACGAGGCUUAACCGACCUGAACGGGUGGUCGGCCACACGGGAAGUGAGACACGGUCGAGACACCUACGGGAGGCAGCAGUAGGGAAUCUUCCGCAAUGGGCGAAUGCCUGACGGAGCAACGCCGCGUGAAGGAUGAUCGUGCAAGGAUCGGAAAGCGCUGUAAGUAGUAGAGAAGAAAAGCUCAAGUAACCGUGAAGAUAUUGACGGUACCGAAACAAAAAGCCACGGCUAACUACGUG
Molecule: ribosomal RNA, 497 nt
Filed under: uncultured bacterium
Lineage: Bacteria
Description: partial 16S ribosomal RNA
Rfam family: Bacterial small subunit ribosomal RNA
Source: RNAcentral